CCUACGGGAGGCUGCAGUCGAGAAUCAUUCACAAUGGGGGAAACCCUGAUGGUGCGACGCCGCGUGGGGGAAUGAAGGUCUUCGGAUUGUAAACUCCUGUCAUGUGGGAGCAAAUUAAAAAGAUAGUACCACAUGAGGAAGAGACGGCUAAUUCUGUGCCAGCAGCCGCGGUAAUACAGAGGUCUCAAGCGUUGUUCGGAGUCACUGGGCGGAAAGGGUGCGUAGGAUGUUUCGUAAGUCGUGUGUGAAAGGCGCGGGCUCAACCCGCGGACGGCACAUGGAACUGGGAGACUAGAGUAAUGGAGGGGGAAGCGGAAUUCGCGGUGUAGCAGUGAAAUGCGUAGAUAUCGAGAGGAACACUCGUGGCGAAGGCAGGUUCCUGGACAUUAACUGACGCUGAGGCACGAAGGCCAGGGGAGCGAAAGGGAUUAGAUACCCCAGUAGUC
RNAcentral lists this ribosomal RNA (446 nucleotides) under uncultured bacterium. RNAcentral's name for it is "partial 16S ribosomal RNA". It matches the Rfam family "Bacterial small subunit ribosomal RNA", at positions 338 to 795 of the family's 1533-position model. The record is from RNAcentral.